Molecule: ribosomal RNA, 250 nt
Filed under: uncultured bacterium
Lineage: Bacteria
Description: partial 16S ribosomal RNA
Rfam family: Bacterial small subunit ribosomal RNA
Source: RNAcentral
UACGUAAGGGGCAAGCGUUAUCCGGAUUUACUGGGUGUAAAGGGAGCGUAGACGGUUGUGUAAGUCAGAUGUGAAAGGCCAGGGCUCAACCCUGGGACUGCAUUUGAAACUAUGCAACUAGAGUGUCGGAGAGGUAAGUGGAAUUCCUAGUGUAGCGGUGAAAUGCGUAGAUAUUAGGAGGAACACCAGUGGCGAAGGCGACUUACUGGACGAUGACUGACGUUGAGGCUCGAAAGCGUGGGGAGCAAAC